GGCUAGUCUCCAGGAAGGAGAUUCAGGAAGCCUUGCUAGGGAGGCAAGAAGAAUUUGUAUUUCCAGACUUUCAUUCCAGCAACUUAAUGAGUCAACAGACAACAGUAUGUGGCUGUUCCUCAGGGACUGCCGGGUCAUCCUGGCUACCUAAUUUUGAUCAUGAAACAGGUCUAACUCUCAUUGUUUAAAAUUGGUUCCCCACAUAGCCCCUUGCAUUUCUGUCUUGCUUGCCUCCUUUCAGAAGUCACCUGUUAGCCCUGGCAGUGGGGCAGUAUGGGAAGUGCUAUGUCUCUCCUCUGCCCUAAUAACCAACUAGAAGCUCAUUAUCGGGAGGUGGGUCUCAGCUUUGGGGGUAGGUCAUAAUAGCACAUCAUUAUCUCCUGGUGUCUGAGGGGUUGAGGAGGUGGAUAACAAGACAGAAAUCUAAAUAAUAUUUUAGUUCCUGGGGUCUUAAAGUUCAUCCUUGACAAGUGUUUAUCCCUCAGAAGGCUGCUCAAGGGAGGACAGUGGACUCUGCAGUCACCUCGCCAAAUACAUCUUCUUCUGUGAGCUGAGUAACAACUGGAUUGGCUGAGUCACUUAAUGAGAGAUUCUCAUCUAAGCCUCCCUGAGAUGAUAUUCAGCUUUAAGCUACCCAUCCAGAGUCUCACUGCAGCACCAUUUUUCUCAUCAGGGAGGUACUGAAAUCUGAACUUAGAGGUGACUCCAAUGAUCUUGUCAAGACUCCAAUGACUUGCUGUGGAAAAGUGAAAUAAUAUGAUAAGUCUGUGUUGACCUAAGCCAGCCUCCCUCCUAGAACUUAGAAGUUUGUCUGGUGCUCACUUGGACUCUGGAAAGGCACUGUGUCUUGAUUGACAGAGAGGAGAAAAUAUCUGCUUCUACUCUGGAGCCAUCUUCCUAAUGGCUGCUAAAAGGAAGCCUGGUCUUCAACUACUGUAUGUAUGGGAAGCAUAUCUUCAGCAGUUCCUAUGCUGUUCUCAUACCAAGAUGGGAAAACUGAGUUCCAAAGAUAUUCAGUGCCCUCCCCAAGGUCACACAAGUAACAAAUGGCAUGAUUAGGAUUUAAAUUCUACAGCUCAACCUCCAAAACCAGCACCUUUUCCUCCACAUUGAACUUCAACAUAUUGCUUCAAGUCUUUCAUUUUUCCUCAGGGAGCUGGGCUUUGCAAUGUUUUUCUAUGUUUCUACUGCCAAUAAAAAUGCAUGUUUUAAACA
RNAcentral lists this long non-coding RNA (1215 nucleotides) under Monodelphis domestica (gray short-tailed opossum). Its description in RNAcentral is "lncRNA (ENSMODG00000030549.2)". Lineage: Eukaryota; Metazoa; Chordata; Mammalia; Didelphimorphia; Didelphidae. The record is from RNAcentral.